UAAAUUCUGAGGACUCCAAAAUUAUUUUACAUUUUUAUAUUUAAUUUUAAAUUUAUUUGGAUGGAGAAAUUAAUUAAAAUACUUUCUGAUCAAUUAUUUUUCAUUUUUAUUUUUCAUUGACAAUACAAUAAGAAGAACAAGGAAACCAACUAAAAGAAUAUACAGAGCAUAGAUGAAAAUGAUAAAAGAAGAAGAUGAUGAAUUCAGAAAGAGGAACGAUUACUGAAUAAUUAAAAAAAAAAAAACGAUUACUGAAUAAUUAAAAAAAAAUCUUCUUUAUUUUGAUCUUCAACCUUCCUUGAUAAGGUGACACUGAAUUGAAUCAGUAAACUAUCCAUCAAAAACUCUUCACAGAGACUUCUAUUCCUCUGGAUUUGCAAGAGAUUCUUCAUUUUUGCCACUGAUGAUAGUGAAUUCUAACAAAAAUGCAUCCCAUAAACAUACAAAAAUUGUUAUUUUCAAAAGGAAAAAGAAAAUGAGAACUAGAAGAGGAACAAAAGAAAAAUAUUACCUUUUCAUAGUCAGGUUAGGAGACUCUAGUUUUCUUUCAAAUCAUUCAUAAGACGAAUAAACAUCUCAAAAAAAGACGGUUGAUUCUUGUUGAUUUUUAUAAAUCAAAUAACCCAGAAUUUAUUGUUUAAGAUGAUAAAAAAAGUUAAGAGAUAGAUAAGAAGAAGGACGGAGGAAUGAAUGACAGAUCGAAAAUAAUAUGCCUUCUUAGUU
RNAcentral lists this long non-coding RNA (723 nucleotides) under Brassica napus (rape). RNAcentral describes it as "long non-coding RNA (BNAP_LNC023490)". Lineage: Eukaryota; Viridiplantae; Streptophyta; Magnoliopsida; Brassicales; Brassicaceae. The record is from RNAcentral.